GGAGAAACAUAAAAUAUAACUGACACUUAGCCGAAAAACACAAUUUCACUAUAGCCGGAUAACCGCAUCCGUAUACAAGCCCAUAAUCUUGCUCCGAGAGGUACAAAUACAUGUGGAGACAUACUGUUUUUGCACAUCUUUGCACCAUGGCCAGAAAUUUGGGACAGUAUGACUGCUAACUAUGCGCACAACUGACCAAUUUUGCGAAUUCAAGAUGGCGGAAAUGCUAAGAAUUAAUACUAUAAUCAUACAAAUGCGAUGCGAAUGCUGAAACAAAAUAUAAUUCUCAAAGUGUUUACGUCUAGAAAUGUACAAAAUACCUCGACGAGUAUUCCCCAAAACUCUUGACGUGUCACGAUUUGCCAUUAUUCCGCCCGAGUAACUCAAUUUUACAGUAUAAUCUCGCAAUGUAAACUCCUAUUAAGUACAGUAAAAUCCCCAUUGUUUACCAAGUUAAGGCCAGUGUAGUGUUGCUCCAAGAGCUCGAAGACGAAUUGUUUACGUCUACAUUUCUUGUACGACAGUUAAUCUCUCCUUUUGUAUUGAUUUAGAUUCAUCUUAGCUUGUACGCGCUCAGUGGCGUAACGCAACCACUGGGGGCCCUCCGUCAAUCGGCCACUCUGGGCCCCCUUUGCUCAACUAAAAAUAGGCUCGGAACAAUUUAUUUUUGGCGACUUCCCCCCCCCCCCCAGUCGCAAAAAAAAUUUCGGCCAGUGUACCAUUUUAGGGGUCCAAAAUUUUUUCCGGACAUACACAAUGAGAUUGCCAAUAAAUCAUUCUAGUAUUUCGUCCUUUUCCUCAGCCGCGACGUACUUAAUCCGUCUCAGCUUCAGGAAUGUUACGUGUACCCCCCACCAAAUUUCUCCAAGGAUCAGAAAAGGAUUUUUUUAAUUCAAUUCAAUUCAAUUAAUUCAAUUCCCCAGAAAUGUGCUAUCAAAUUUUUUAUGGUCAUUUUUGUCGGGGGCCCCUAAAGUUCGGGGACCCCCCGUCACUGGACACCCUGACACCCUCCCGUUACGCCACUGUACGCGCUCCGCCAAACGCAUUUAAAAUAGCGUGUAUUUCAUGAGAACUGUAAGCUAAUACCAAAUGUUUUGGACAAAGCACUGCGAAAUCCCAAAACUAUGAACGUUUUAAAAGCGUCGUCGUGGAUUCUUGUCAACCAUUUUGAAAACAUUUGUACGUACAACCGCUGAUUGUUGUUUAUAAAGGACAGGGGGCUCCAAAAUAGGGAAAAAAAUCGCGCCAAAGUCAAAUUUAACUACCGUGAAAUUCACUAUAUUUUGAUGUACUUUUGUAGUUUUGGGCUUAGAAACUAUUGUGUUCAAUCAAUUAAAAGAUUGUAAAUGAGGAAAUAGUUGCCACAGUCUUUAACUGAUAUAAAAGUAGCUCCGAAGUUUGCUUGAGACGCCUUUAAUGUCUGUUUGUAUUAUGCUGACGCUGCAGAAUUUAGCGAAUUUUUGCGCCCGCAAUACAUUUCGCUGACUGUCCCUCAUUUCUGGCCAUGACAUUUGCAAGCUAAUAAGUAAUAACAUAUCUUCCUUUUACGAAUUUUCGAGUCCUGUGUGGGUUGCGUGAUAUAUAACACGAAAUCAGUUCAACUUCAGAGACGAUUUCUCCGGAAAUGUGCAAGCCUUCGAAGUGUCUCCGCACAUUAUCAUUGCAUG
This is a non-coding RNA of Paramuricea clavata, 1667 nucleotides long. Lineage: Eukaryota; Metazoa; Cnidaria; Anthozoa; Malacalcyonacea; Plexauridae. The record is from the annotation of a GenBank genome assembly.